UACGUAGGGGGCAAGCGUUGUCCGGAUUUAUUGGGCGUAAAGAGCGUGUAGGCGGCCAGGUAGGUCGGUUGUGAAAACUGGAGGCUCAACCUCCAGACGUCGACCGAAACCAUCUGGCUAGAGUCCGGAAGAGGAGAGUGGAAUUCCUGGUGUAGCGGUGAAAUGCGCAGAUAUCAGGAAGAACACCCGUGGCUAAGGCGGCUCUCUAGUACGGUACUGACGCUGAGACGCGAAAGCGUGGGGAGCGAACAGG
RNAcentral lists this ribosomal RNA (253 nucleotides) under uncultured bacterium. RNAcentral describes it as "partial 16S ribosomal RNA". It matches the Rfam family "Bacterial small subunit ribosomal RNA", at positions 524 to 776 of the family's 1533-position model. The record is from RNAcentral.